AAGUCUGAUGGAGCAACGCCGCGUGAGUGAAGAAGGUCUUCGGAUCGUAAAACUCUGUUGUUAGAGAAGAACACGAGUGAGAGUAACUGUUCAUUCGAUGACGGUAUCUAACCAGCAAGUCACGGCUAACUACGUGCCAGCAGCCGCGGUAAUACGUAGGUGGCAAGCGUUGUCCGGAUUUAUUGGGCGUAAAGGGAACGCAGGCGGUCUUUUAAGUCUGAUGUGAAAGCCUUCGGCUUAACCGGAGUAGUGCAUUGGAAACUGGAAGACUUGAGUGCAGAAGAGGAGAGUGGAACUCCAUGUGUAGCGGUGAAAUGCGUAGAUAUAUGGAAGAACACCAGUGGCGAAAGCGGCUCUCUGGUCUGUAACUGACGCUGAGGUUCGAAAGCGUGGGUAGCAAACAGGAUUAGAUACCCUGGUAGUCCACGCCGUAAACGAUGAAUGCUAGGUGUUGGAGGGUUUCCGCCCUUCAGUGCCGCAGCUAACGCAAUAAGCAUUCCGCCUGGGGAGUACGACCGCAAGGUUGAAACUCAAAGGAAUUGACGGGGGCCCGCACAAGCGGUGGAGCAUGUGGUUUAAUUCGAAGCAACGCGAAGAACCUUACCAGGUCUUGACAUCCUUUGACCACCUAAGAGAUUAGGC
RNAcentral lists this ribosomal RNA (642 nucleotides) under Ligilactobacillus salivarius. RNAcentral describes it as "bacterial SSU rRNA". It matches the Rfam family "Bacterial small subunit ribosomal RNA", at positions 379 to 1012 of the family's 1533-position model. Lineage: Bacteria; Bacillati; Bacillota; Bacilli; Lactobacillales; Lactobacillaceae. The record is from RNAcentral.